RNAcentral lists this transfer RNA (76 nucleotides) under uncultured Gammaproteobacteria bacterium. RNAcentral describes it as "tRNA-Phe". It matches the Rfam family "tRNA". Rfam says of the family: Transfer RNA (tRNA) molecules are approximately 80 nucleotides in length. Their secondary structure includes four short double-helical elements and three loops (D, anti-codon, and T loops). The record is from RNAcentral. Lineage: Bacteria; Pseudomonadati; Pseudomonadota; Gammaproteobacteria.
GGCCAGGUAGCUCAGUCGGUAGAGCAGGGGACUGAAAAUCCCCGUGUCGGCGGUUCGAUUCCGUCCCUGGCCACCU